UUUCCAGAGAUGGAUUGGUGCCUUCGGGAACUGUGAGACAGGUGCUGCAUGGCUGUCGUCAGCUCGUGUUGUGAAAUGUUGGGUUAAGUCCCGCAACGAGCGCAACCCUUAUCCUUUGUUGCCAGCGGUCCGGCCGGGAACUCAAAGGAGACUGCCAGUGAUAAACUGGAGGAAGGUGGGGAUGACGUCAAGUCAUCAUGGCCCUUACGACCAGGGCUACACACGUGCUACAAUGGCGCAUACAAAGAGAAGCGACCUCGCGAGAGCAAGCGGACCUCAUAAAGUGCGUCGUAGUCCGGAUUGGAGUCUGCAACUCGACUCCAUGAAGUCGGAAUCGCUAGUAAUCGUGGAUCAGAAUGCCACGGUGAAUACGUUCCCGGGCCUUGUACACACCGCCCGUCACACCAUGGGAGUGGGUUGCAAAAGAAGUAGGUAGCUUAACCUUCGGGAGGGCGCUUACCACUUUGUGAUUCAUGACUGGGGUGAAGUCGUAACAAGGUAACCGUAGGGGAACCUGCGGUUGGAUCACCUCCUUA
Molecule: ribosomal RNA, 536 nt
Filed under: Salmonella enterica subsp. enterica serovar Muenchen
Lineage: Bacteria; Pseudomonadati; Pseudomonadota; Gammaproteobacteria; Enterobacterales; Enterobacteriaceae
Also listed under: 3 other names
Description: partial 16S ribosomal RNA
Rfam family: Bacterial small subunit ribosomal RNA
Source: RNAcentral